UUGGAGGGCAAGUCUGGUGCCAGCAGCCGCGGUAAUUCCAGCUCCAAUAGCGUAUAUUAAAGUUGUUGCAGUUAAAAAGCUCGUAGUUGAAUUUCGGGAUCAAUAUGUCGGUCGUGCCUCCGGUACGUACUGGCGUUAUUGGUUUCUCCCUUCUGACGAACCACGAUGUCAUUAAUUUGGUGUCAUGGGGAAUCAGGACUGUUACUUUGAAAAAAUUAGAGUGUUUAAAGCAGGCUCACGCUUGAAUACAUUAGCAUGGAAUAAUGAAAUAGGACGUUUGAUUCUAUUUUGUUGGUUUCUAGGAUCGACGUAAUGAUUAAUAGGGAUAGUUGGGGGCAUUAGUAUUCAAUUGUCAGAGGUGAAAUUCUUGGAUUUAUUGAAGACUAACUACUGCGAAAGCAUUUGCCAAGGAUGUUUUCAUUAAUCAAGAACGAAAGUUAGGGGAUCGAAGGCGAUCAGAUACCGUCGUAGUCUUAACCAUAAACUAUGCCGACUAGGGAUCGGAUGAUGUUAAUUUUUUAAUGACUCAUUCGGCACCUUACGGGAAAC
Molecule: ribosomal RNA, 549 nt
Filed under: uncultured Glomus
Lineage: Eukaryota; Fungi; Glomeromycota; Glomeromycetes; Glomerales; Glomeraceae
Description: SSU rRNA
Rfam family: Eukaryotic small subunit ribosomal RNA
Source: RNAcentral